Molecule: non-coding RNA, 891 nt
Organism: Meleagris gallopavo (turkey)
Lineage: Eukaryota; Metazoa; Chordata; Aves; Galliformes; Phasianidae
Source: RefSeq, a predicted model, not a curated record
GAGAUCUUUGUGUACCUGAGGCCUUCUGAGGUGGAACAAUGAGGAAUAAUUCAUUUAUGGAGGCAGUAGUGGCUUUAUUUGAGUGCUCCCAGUCCAGCUCUUCAAUAUUUCAGUUACAGAAUGCUCCUCAGUGAAUAAUGCAGCAGAGUUGUGAAGAGAGAAGACUGAAACACAAGGACGUGUAAAUGCCACAGUGAAUGUGUAUCAUGCAUUACAUUGAGGGAAAUUAAAAGGUUAACAACAAUCUCUGUUUACCAAAACAAUGUACUUUCAAAUUUUUAAGUGUUUUGCCAGCAAAGGGAAUACAAUGUUUGGGGAAAUGUGGGGGGGAAAAAAUAAAAACCUCUGACAUCUGUUAUGUUUUUUGCUCAUGAAAUAAACCCAGAAAGAUGAAAAGGGUUUGACAAUGAUUGCUGGAUGUGCUAUGCUGUGGCUCAACCUCAAGGGCACAAUAAACUUAGAACAAGUGCUUAGAAACAGAUCAAAGAUCCAAUGAAUUAUUUUGCAUUUUUAACCUUUGACCAAAACACCAUAUCCUGAAUACUGUUGCUGUUAAUUGGAGAGCUUAAAAGAUAAGUAGCAUACAGGGACAACCAUUGCCAUAGGAAAGUAAAACUGUGUGAUUAAUUAUGGCAUAUUCCCUUGUCUAUUCAAUAUGUUUAUGUAAAACUUUUUUAUUCUUUCAGCAAUAAUAUUAGAACUUUUCCCCUAAUGAGUAAUGUUUAACUUCAUACAUAUGCAAAUAAAAAGGUGAGAAUGUGCAUAAAUGUCAAUGUGAGCUAUGUUACCCACCUAAAAAGAAAUUAAACAAAGCUCCUCCCUUAGCUUGCACUGGGGGUUGUUCAGAUAUAUUCCUCAUAGCAUAAUGGCAAAAGACAAAUUUUUUUGUAA